This 301-nucleotide ribosomal RNA is filed under the name uncultured bacterium. RNAcentral describes it as "partial 16S ribosomal RNA". It matches the Rfam family "Bacterial small subunit ribosomal RNA", at positions 509 to 809 of the family's 1533-position model. The record is from RNAcentral.
CAGCAGCCGCGGGAAUACCGAGGGUGCAAGCGUUAAUCGGAAUUACUGGGCGUAAAGCGCGCGUAGGUGGUUUGUUAAGUUGGAUGUGAAAUCCCCGGGCUCAACCUGGGAACUGCAUCCAAAACUGGCAAGCUAGAGUAUGGUAGAGGGUGGUGGAAUUUCCUGUGUAGCGGUGAAAUGCGUAGAUAUAGGAAGGAACACCAGUGGCGAAGGCGACCACCUGGACUGAUACUGACACUGAGGUGCGAAAGCGUGGGGAGCAAACAGGAUUAGAUACCCCAGUAGUCCCUGUCUCUUAUAA